GCGGGGCCUGGUGGUGCGCACUUGUAGUCCCAGCUACUCAGGAAGCUGAGGCAGGAAGAUCACUUGAGCCCAGGAGUUCUGGGAUGUAGCACGCUAUGCAAAUUUGGUGUCUGCACUAAGUUGGCCAUCAAUAUGGUGACCUCCAGGAAGCAGGGGACCACCAGGUUGCCUAAGAAGUGAACUUCCCCAGGCUGGAAACGAAGCAGGUCAAUACUUCUGUGCUGAUCAGUACUGGGAUUGUGCCUGUGAAUGCCACUGCAUUCCAGCCUGGGCAACACAGCAAGACCCCACUCUU
This is a non-coding RNA of Myotis brandtii (Brandt's bat), 295 nucleotides long. The record is from Rfam. Lineage: Eukaryota; Metazoa; Chordata; Mammalia; Chiroptera; Vespertilionidae.